GAGAGAGAGAGAGAGAGAGAGAGAGAAUACAGAGAAGGUAUUUCUUGUGUUAAUGAUUGUUUGAUGGACUCAUUACAAUCUCAAGCUUUAUACAAGAAUUACAUUUUCCCGCCACCCUCUGUUAUACAAUUAGCGGCAGGUGCAACCAACCAAUCUCCAAUUCACCAACUGCGCUCUUUGAGUAUUAUUGACUCAGCUAUCACACACAUCACAGCUCACAUAACCACAACAAUACUUUUACAUGAAUAUCUCUGUUAAGGCUCGCUCCAUAUUCAGAUACUGUUUGAACCAAAUGGAUCAUAAUUUGGAUGAAGCACCAGAGAGUGCAUGACUGACCAACUCCCGCCUGAGGAUCUUCCCUCCAGGAGAUUUUGGAAUAGAGUUGAUAAAACCUACUCGCCUUAUCUUCUUGUACGGUGCAACCUUUUUUGCAAUGAAAUCCAUAACUUGAGCCUCAGUGAUACUGCUUCCAGGUUUUCUCACAACAUAGGCCAUGGGAAUUUGUCCUGCCUCUUCAUCAGGGUACGGAACCACAGCGGCAUCAGCAAUUUCAGGAUUGGAUUGUAACAGUUGUUCCAAUUCAGCUGGAGGCACCUGAUAUGCUUUGUAUUUUAUCAGUUCCUUUAACCUAUCAACAACAUAGAGGAAACCCUGAGAGUCAAAAUAACAAAGAUCCCCAGUCUUUAACCAACCCUCCGAAUCCAAGGUUUCAGCAGUUGCCUUCUCAUCUCCUACAUAACCUUUCAUGACAGUUGGCCCCCGCAACCACAGCUCCCCUCUUUGGCCAGGAGGCAAGGCCUCUCCAGUUUCAGGAUCAACAAUCUUUGCUUCCAUAUUUUCGGCUAGGAGACCGACAGAACCAUGCUUCUUGGAUUCUUCAGGUCCUAUCAUCCUUGCCGCCCCACCUCCAGUCUCAGUCAACCCGUACCCCUGGAUAAUAUCCACCUGUGGGAAUUUUUCCUUAAAUCUAUCGGCAAUAUCCUUCCCCAGAGGUGCACCGCCGCAUCCCAGCAA
RNAcentral lists this unclassified non-coding RNA (1014 nucleotides) under Hevea brasiliensis (rubber tree). The record is from RNAcentral. Lineage: Eukaryota; Viridiplantae; Streptophyta; Magnoliopsida; Malpighiales; Euphorbiaceae.